This 851-nucleotide ribosomal RNA is filed under the name Lysinibacillus xylanilyticus. RNAcentral's name for it is "bacterial SSU rRNA". It matches the Rfam family "Bacterial small subunit ribosomal RNA", at positions 113 to 950 of the family's 1533-position model. The record is from RNAcentral. Lineage: Bacteria; Bacillati; Bacillota; Bacilli; Caryophanales; Bacillaceae.
ACACGUGGGCAACCUACCUUAUAGUUUGGGAUAACUCCGGGAAACCGGGGCUAAUACCGAAUAAUCUAUUUCACUUCAUGGUGAAAUACUGAAAAACGGUUUCGGCUGUCGCUAUAAAAUGGGCCCGCGGCGCAUUACCUAGUUGGUGAGGUAACGGCUCACCAAGGCAACAAUGCGUACCCAACCUGAAAGGGUGAUCGGCCACACUGGGACUGAAACACGGCCCAAACUCCUACGGGAGGCACCAUUAGGGAAUCUUCCACAAUGGGCAAAAGCCUGAUGGAGCACCGCCCCGUGAGUGAAAAAGGUUUUCGGAUCGUAAAACUCUGUUGUAAGGGAAAAACAAGUACAGUAUUAACUGGUUGUACCUUGACGGUACCUUAUUAAAAAGCCACGGCUAACUACUUGCCACCACCCGCGGUAAUACUUAGGUGGCAAGCGUUGUCCGGAAUUAUUGGGCGUAAAGCGCGCGCAGGCGGUCCUUUAAUUCUGAUGUGAAAGCCCACGGCUCACCCGUGGAGGGUCAUUGGAAACUGGGGGACUUGAGUGCAAAAGAGGAAAGUGGAAUUCCAAGUGUAGCGUUGAAAUGCGUAGAGAUUUGGAGGAACACCAUUGGCGAAGGCGACUUUCUGGUCUGUAACUGACGCUGAGGCGCGAAAGCGUGGGGAGCAAACAGGAUUAGAUACCCUGGUAGUCCACGCCGUAAACGAUGGAGUGCUAAUUGUUAGGGGGUUUCCGCCCCUUAGUGCUGCAGCUAACGCAUUAAGCACUCGGCCUGGGGGAGUACGGUCGCAGGACUGAACUCAAAGGAAUAGACGGGGGCCCGCACAAGCGUGAGCAUGUAGUUUAAU